GGGCCAGACUCCUACGGGAGGCAGCAGUGGGGAAUAUUGGGCAAUGGGCGCAAGCCUGACCCAGCAACGCCGCGUGAAGGAAGAAGGCUUUCGGGUUGUAAACUUCUUUUAUUGAGGACGAAACAAAUGACGGUACUCAAUGAAUAAGCCACGGCUAACUACGUGCCAGCAGCCGCGGUAAUACGGAGGAUGCGAGCGUUAUCCGGAUUUAUUGGGUUUAAAGGGUGCGUAGGCGGAUCGUUAAGUCAGUGGUAAAUUUGGGGGGCCCACCCCCUCCCCGCCAUUGAAACUGGCGCUCUUGAGUGGAAGAGAAGUAUGCGGAAUGCGUGGUGUAGCGGUGAAAUGCAUAGAUAUCACGCAGAACCCCGAUUGCGAAGGCAGCAUGCCGGCUUCCGACUGACGCUGAAGCACGAAAGCGUGGGGAUCGAACAGGAUUAGAUACCCGAGUA
This 449-nucleotide ribosomal RNA is filed under the name uncultured bacterium. RNAcentral's name for it is "partial 16S ribosomal RNA". It matches the Rfam family "Bacterial small subunit ribosomal RNA", at positions 328 to 792 of the family's 1533-position model. The record is from RNAcentral.